This 548-nucleotide ribosomal RNA is filed under the name uncultured bacterium. RNAcentral describes it as "bacterial SSU rRNA". It matches the Rfam family "Bacterial small subunit ribosomal RNA", at positions 355 to 896 of the family's 1533-position model. The record is from RNAcentral.
UGGGGAAUAUUGGACAAUGGGCGAAAGCCUGAUCCAGCCAUGCCGCGUGUGUGAGGAAGGCCUUUUGGUUGUAAAGCACUUUAAGUGGGGAGGAAAAGCUUAUGGUUAAUACCCAUAAGCCCUGACGUUACCCACAGAAUAAGCACCGGCUAACUCUGUGCCAGCAGCCGCGGUAAUACAGAGGGUGCAAGCGUUAAUCGGAAUUACUGGGCGUAAAGCGCGCGUAGGUGGUUAUUUAAGUCAGAUGUGAAAGCCCCGGGCUUAACCUGGGAACUGCAUCUGAUACUGGAUAACUAGAGUAGGUGAGAGGGGAGUAGAAUUCCAGGUGUAGCGGUGAAAUGCGUAGAGAUCUGGAGGAAUACCGAUGGCGAAGGCAGCUCCCUGGCAUCAUACUGACACUGAGGUGCGAAAGCGUGGGUAGCAAACAGGAUUAGAUACCCUGGUAGUCCACGCCGUAACGAUGUCUACCAGUCGUUGGGUCUUUUAAAGACUUAGUGACGCAGUUAACGCAAUAAGUAGACCGCCUGGGGAGUACGGCCGCAAGGUUA